Molecule: ribosomal RNA, 502 nt
Filed under: uncultured bacterium
Lineage: Bacteria
Description: partial 16S ribosomal RNA
Rfam family: Bacterial small subunit ribosomal RNA
Source: RNAcentral
AUUGAACGCUGGCGGCGUGCUUUACACAUGCAAGUCGAACGGCAGCACGGACUUCGGUCUGGUGGCGAGUGGCGAACGGGUGAGUAAUACAUCGGAACGUACCUUUUAGUUGGGGAUAACGCAUCGAAAGAUGUGCUAAUACCGAAUAAUCUCUGAGGAGGAAAGGCGGGGCUCGGAAACGACCUGUCGCUGAAAGAGCGGCCGAUGGCCGAUUAGCUAGUUGGCGGGGUAAAUGCCCACCAAGGCGAUGAUCGGUAGCUGUUCUGAGAGGAAGAUCAGCCACACUGGGACUGAGACACGGCCCAGACUCCUACGGGAGGCAGCAGUGGGGAAUUUUGGACAAUGGGGGCAACCCUGAUCCAGCAACGCCGCGUGAAUGAAGAAGGCCUUAGGGUUGUAAAGUUCUUUUGUCGCAGAGCAAAAUGCUUGUACUAAUACUAUGAGUAGAUGAGAGUAUGCGAAGAAUAAGCACCGGCUAACUACGUGCCAGCAGCCGCAGUAA